UACAGAGGGUGCAAGCGUUGUUCGGAAUUAUUGGCGUAAAGGGCGCGUAGGCGGUUCGGCAAGUCUCUAGUGAAAUCUCUGGGCUCAACUCAGAGUCUGCUGGGGAAACUGCCGGGCUUGAGUGUGGGAGAGGAGAGUGGAAUUCCCGGUGUAGCGGUGAAAUGCGUAGAUAUCACUUGGAACGCCGACGGUGAAACAGCUCGCUGGGCGUGUUCUGACGCUGAGGCGCGAAAGCCAGGGAGCGAACGGG
RNAcentral lists this ribosomal RNA (250 nucleotides) under uncultured bacterium. RNAcentral describes it as "partial 16S ribosomal RNA". It matches the Rfam family "Bacterial small subunit ribosomal RNA", at positions 524 to 776 of the family's 1533-position model. The record is from RNAcentral.